AAAAAUUUACUGGAAUUAUUUUACAUACUUUGAAAAGCCCUAUGCUAUGGCAAGGUUAGAAAUGAGUCAAUUGAGGCACACAGAGAUGAUAUGAUUUGCUUAAAGUUUGACGCUGUUCAGUGUCACUUUCUCCUAAGAACUUCUUUCUCUCAUAUCUUUGCUAGCUAUAACAUUUAAUUUUGUGCCCAGAAUCCAUCUGAAUGACUGGUCUCUACAUUUCCCCUACAGGCUCUCACACAAGGAGAAGCAUCAAGAGGUCAUGAUUCCUUCCCUGCAAUUUACUUCCAGUUUCGGUCCGCCUUACAAAGGUAGUUGUCCUAUCGUAAGUCUCUCUGCAGCAGAUGAGAGAUCAGGGUGUAGGUGUGUG
RNAcentral lists this long non-coding RNA (367 nucleotides) under Chinchilla lanigera (long-tailed chinchilla). Its description in RNAcentral is "lncRNA (ENSCLAG00000023381.1)". Lineage: Eukaryota; Metazoa; Chordata; Mammalia; Rodentia; Chinchillidae. The record is from RNAcentral.